GCAUGCAACACUUGCCUUUGCACAGUCGUGGGUUGUACUUUUUUUAUAUAUUUGAAGGUUUAACAAUCAUUUGUGGACCAGCUAUCAUGCGAGUCUUCUACCUGGGAUGUAUUAUAUUCUUCUAUGGGGUUUGGAGUCAGGCCCCUUACAGGGUGACUUACCCAUCGAAGAGUGUCUGUGCUUUGAAGGGGUUCUCAGUGGUCCUUCCCUGCUCUUACUACCCUGGACCUUAUGGCAUCCGAGAAGGCCACUGGUACAAAGACAACGUCUCUAAUGGUGAUCCGAAGGAUCUGAGAUGGGAGCCAGAGUACAGAGACCGAGUACGGAGCCCUUAUUCUGAGACCUCCUGUGAUCUUCAUAUGACAACUCUGACAGAAAGUGACGCCGGCGUUUACUACUUCGGAUUUAAAGCAUUGGCGUCACCACACGGGAAACAACAGCAUGGAUUCAUGGAUCGCCGGGAAUUGCUCUCGUGGUCUCAGAUGCUCAACUGAAGGUGGAUCCUACAUCAGUCACACAAAGGUGGAUACAUGUAACCUGUGCCACCUCCUGUACCUGGGUCCUGUGGAUUACUACACAUGGUACAGGAAUGGAAAACAUCUAAAGUACACUGAUGAGGCUUCCAUAGUCAUAGACUCAGCUGGUGGCUCUGAGAGUCAGGGCAGUUACUGGUGUGAAGUCAGAGCUGCUGGCAACCGACUAACAUCCUCUGCAGUGUGUG
This is a long non-coding RNA of Clupea harengus (Atlantic herring), 721 nucleotides long. The record is from Ensembl. Lineage: Eukaryota; Metazoa; Chordata; Actinopteri; Clupeiformes; Clupeidae.